GAAUUGACGGGGGCCCGCACAAGCGGUGGAGCAUGUGGUUUAAUUCGAUGCAACGCGAAGAACCUUACCUGGUCUUGACAUCCACGGAAGAAUUCAGAGAUGGAUUUGUGCCUUCGGGAACCGUGAGACAGGUGCUGCAUGGCUGUCGUCAGCUCGUGUUGUGAAAUGUUGGGUUAAGUCCCGCAACGAGCGCAACCCUUAUCCUUUGUUGCCAGCGGUCCGGCCGGGAACUCAAAGGAGACUGCCAGUGAUAAACUGGAGGAAGGUGGGGAUGACGUCAAGUCAUCAUGGCCCUUACGACCAGGGCUACACACGUGCUACAAUGGCGCAUACAAAGAGAAGCGACCUCGCGAGAGCAAGCGGACCUCAUAAAGUGCGUCGUAGUCCGGAUUGGAGUCUGCAACUCGACUCCAUGAAGUCGGAAUCGC
RNAcentral lists this ribosomal RNA (428 nucleotides) under Salmonella enterica. RNAcentral describes it as "bacterial SSU rRNA". It matches the Rfam family "Bacterial small subunit ribosomal RNA", at positions 907 to 1335 of the family's 1533-position model. Lineage: Bacteria; Pseudomonadati; Pseudomonadota; Gammaproteobacteria; Enterobacterales; Enterobacteriaceae. The record is from RNAcentral.